This is a long non-coding RNA of Bombus huntii, 571 nucleotides long. RefSeq lists it as uncharacterized. The record is from RefSeq and is a predicted model, not a curated record. The transcript has 3 exons. NCBI's taxonomy places the organism in Eukaryota, Metazoa, Arthropoda, Insecta, Hymenoptera, Apidae.
CUUCUAUUAAAAACUACAAUUCGUCUUCUUAUUGAAUAAGCGAUGUCAAAAUUUGGACCACAUUUGUGCAUCAAAGGACAGUGACGCGUAUUCAUCUAUCGUACUAUUGAAAGGAGUUCUACCUACCUAGCAGGAGUGAAAAUCUUGUCUACAAAUUACGUAUUGUUGAUAUUUAAGUCGGUUGGGACUGAUGGAGCUUCUAAAAUAUUUUUCUCGUGAAUAGAGAAGGAAAACGCUUGCCGUAGAUAACUACUACGUAGUUCCGUAGACUAUGUACCUCCCGUGAUAAUCAAAAUACUCGUAGGGAUUUUGGAAUUUGUUCUGUUUCGAUUCGCGUCUACUUGAAAGUAAACUUCCUUUUCAAAUAUAAUAUAGUAAUGUAAGCUGAUAAUAUUAUAAGACUGCAGCGAUUACCGACGUGGGAAAAGCAAUCUAUAGUCGGUUAGAAGAUAUGGAUAUCCGUAGAAAAUUCGAAUUUAAUCAAUUAAUGUUUGUGUUAUUAUAUGUAAAAAUUUAAGUAUAUGUUAUACAUAUGUAUAUUAUAUAUAAUUAUAUAGUAUAUGAAUAUUUA